GACGAACGCUGGCGGCGUGCUUGACACAUGCAAGUCGAACGGAAAGGCCUGCUUUCCCUUGUGGAUUGCGGGUACUCGAGUGGCGAACGGGUGAGUAACACGUGAGUGAUCUGCCCCCAACUUGGGUAUAAGCCUGGGAAACUGGGUCUAAUUCCCGAUAGGACUGCAGGGUGGUGCCUGUGGUGGAAAACGAUUUUCUAGUGGUUGGGGAUGAGCUCGCGGCCUAUCAGCUUGUUGGUGGGGUAAUGGCCUACCAAGGCGGCGACGGGUAGCCGGCCUGAGAGGGUGGACGGCGACAUUGGGACUGAGAUACGGCCCAGACUCCUACGGGAGGCAGCAGUGGGGAAUAUUGCACAAUGGGCGGAAGCCCGAUGCAGCGACGCCGCGUGGGGGAUGACGGCCUUCGGGUUGUAAACUCCUUUCGACCGCGAGGAAGCCACCUGGUUGGAAGGGUGGUGACGGUAGUGGUAGAAGAAGCACCGGCUAACUACGUG
This 494-nucleotide ribosomal RNA is filed under the name uncultured bacterium. RNAcentral describes it as "partial 16S ribosomal RNA". It matches the Rfam family "Bacterial small subunit ribosomal RNA", at positions 28 to 507 of the family's 1533-position model. The record is from RNAcentral.